This is a non-coding RNA of Heterocephalus glaber (naked mole-rat), 4351 nucleotides long. The record is from RefSeq and is a predicted model, not a curated record. NCBI's taxonomy places the organism in Eukaryota, Metazoa, Chordata, Mammalia, Rodentia, Bathyergidae.
UUAAUGAGGCUGCCGGGUCAGGCCGAGAGGGACUGCGCAGGAACGCAGCACCAGGCGCCUCAUGCAGCGGGACAGGGACGUGCGUGGGGCACAGACGGCCCCUUCCCUGCCGCUCCGUGGGGCCCAGGGCGACUGACACCCCUCUCUGCACAGCCCCGUCCCCUCUCCAGGGACCCUGCCUCUCGGGCAGCGGUUCUCUGUGAGGACGCUGGGCCAUUUCUGGAGGAGUCUGGGCAGUCGGGGGGGUGCUGCUGGGGCCAGGGCUGCGGGUGCUGUGAGCAUCACACGAUGCUGGAGCGGCCCCGCCCCGCCCGAGAACGGUCCAGCCCAGUCGGUCAGCAGGCCGAGGGGAGAACUCUGCACGGAGCACGGCCCGCACAGGAGGCGCCCGGGCAUGCGGAGGCCAAGACGGCCGAGCUGUGGCCGGCAGAGGUGGGCCUGACUCAGCGGGGCGCAGGGCGUCCUGAACUGCUGAGUCACAGCCGAGGAAGUUGGCACCGUCUCCCCCGACUGGCCCAGCACCUGCUCAGCGACAGAGCCCAGACGAGCCCCGGGCGCAGGCCCCCUGAGGGCUGGAGUCCCCGAGACCCCGACCUGGCCCUUCCUCAGCCCCCCAGCCCCCCAGGACUGUGCCACAGCAGCGGCACUGUGUCCCCCUUGGCACUGAGGGGCGCCAGGUGGGCCUCUCCUUCCUGGGCCCUGUGCAGCCCCUUCCCACCACGACCCCAGUCCCUGAGGGGAACCAGAGCCUGUUGUCCCAUCUUCUCCCCACUCACUUCCUGCCCCCAGACCACCUGGGUGGGGAGGGACAAGCUCCCCGCCAGGACCCUGCACGGAGGGAGCAGGAUCGCCGCAGACUCCACACUGCACGGGAUUGGGAGGGUGCUGACCAGUGUCCCCCUGCUCCUGUCCCCCGCCAGCCGCUGCCCAGAGGGGGCCUGGCCAGUAUUUUAUGGGGAGGUAACCCACAUUAGGGUGUUUAGCCAGGGCCACACAUGGCGCAGUGGAGGAAAAGUCCCUGCCACUUCAGAUCAUCGGCACUGUGGCAAGGCACAAGGCCUUGCCUGUGGUUUGUGGUGGUAAAAACUGCCAGUCAUUAUGCAUGGCACACACUGCUUGACAGUGAUAAGGAGCAGCUGGCCUAUGAUUUACUAUUCCUUUCUCAUUAGAGUGUGGUCCUACUGAUUAAAAAGAAAAAAAACCUUCCGUUACGCCAGCUCUCUGGGAGGCUGAAGACGGAGGAGGCUUGAAGUUGAAAUCCACCCUGGACAACUUCCCGACGUAGCAAGACCCUGUCUCAGAACAAAAGGAAAGGUCUGGGGAUGUAGUUCAGUGUGAAGGCCCCGGGUUCAACCACAGUCCCUCCGGCCCCCGCCAUGGUUUACUGCACAACAGUAUGCAUUUGCCGGCAGCAGCCUCCCACCUGUCAUGUUUUCCUGGGUUACUUUUGUUUUGUUUUGGUACCAGGGAUCGAACUCGGGACCUUGUGCCUGCAAAGCAAGCAGCAGAACCACUGAGCUAAAUCCCCGGCCCCAUGUUUAUUUUUAUUUCCUGCCUGUGAGGGAAGUGCUCUACCACUGAGCCCUUGCCCGGCCCCAACACAUUCCCUGAGCACCAGAGGCUGCCCUGAGGGACUGACCCAUCCACACUCCAAUGACAAAAUUACCUGGGGACAGAGUCCUCAGAAUGCUCCCCAUCAUGAGGUGUCAUGUGACUAGGAGUACCAGGGACAUGGUGGCCACUCCAGCCAUUAUGGUGGCGGAGCCUCCUGAGAUAGCCAUGCUGCAUGUGGAGUCCACCCUUGGGUGGUGCCAGGCCCGCUGGGUGGAGGGAGGUCCUAGGACAGCUGGAGGGGACCCAAGAGAACAAGGCUGACAUCACAUCCAAUGCACCCACCCUCCCUCAAAACCUUUGCCAGGCUUUGGCAGUAGCUGAGCUGAUUCUAUGAAAAUCAAAGCACUGAAAAUGGCCAAGACAACCUUAAAGAAAAGUAAAUGUGGAGGGCCUGCACCGUCAGAGCUCGGGAGCCACAAAGCUCCAUCAGGCCCCGUGGUGCCGGCUAAGAUGGGAGACACAGGCCAGGAGGGAGCUGAGACAGACACCACACCGAUGUGCUCACCUGGCUCAGUAAAACUCCUCACAACUUGAGGGGGUGUGAAGGGAAGGUCUUUGAAAAGAAUAGUUCUGAGGUACCUGGCUUUUCAUAAAGGGAAAAAAUUAAUCCUGACCUCUGCUUUACUCCAAGCACAGAAUUAAUUUGGAAUGGAUCUUUGGAAUGGAUCAUAGGCUUAAAUUUGAAAGCUAAAAUGGUAAAGCUCCCAAGAGCAUGAAAAGGAGAAUACUUUCAUGACUUUGAAGCAAAAAACAAAACAAAACAAAACAAAACAAUAAAAUCAGUGCGUUAGGCAGGCAUAAAAGACACCAACCACAGAGCAAGGGUGCUGCUCCCCACGAGGGGCUGGGAGCUUCCGUUACCACUCAGCACAGGAAGCCCCGCCGAGCCCUAAGAAGAGCCUGAGAGCUCUCCAGGGAUGGGUGGGGAAAGAAACAUCCCUCCACUUCGGAGAAAGUUCUGAAGUGCUUCCAGGAACAGAGGCGCUGAAGCCUGAAAACCCCAGGGGUCGGAGAGACCGUGAGAAACUUCCAGAGAUGGUGGGGAGACCUCCGUACACUCAGAGUUCCCUGGUGGGGUCUGCUGAGCUGUUGGACAAAGAAAAGCAACGGGGUGGAGUUUGAAGAGUUGGCUGAGUCCAGCGUCCACAGCUCACCUGACUCCUGCAAGUCCAGGAAGGGGAAGACCCUCAGGCGACCUUGGGGCAGGGCGGAAGGCUGGACACCCGAGCCACCUUCGGGGACAGUGCAGACAGCCCUGAAGCUGGCGAGCUGCGCCUCCUCCAGCAAGUCACGAGCUCUGCCUGCAUCAACGCCCACCUGUAAUGUGGGCAAGCAGGGACCUACUCCGAAGGGCUGUUACGGGUGCUCAAGCAACACCCAGCACACGGCCGCUUUAGCUGCGGUCCUGCAGAAGGGAGGACAUGAGCCCGGAGUGGGGUGCCCCACGCUUGCCUCAGGAAGACCAGACGCCCCAAGCCCUCCAGGCCCUCUCUUCUCUCAUGGCUCCUGUGUCUGCUGCUCUUCGCCCAUUUUCCUUCUGCUGAGGUUUUGCUGCUCUAUCGCACAAGUUCAGGCUGCAGACGAUCUUUCUCGCCCAUUUCCCAGUGCUGGCUUUUUGCUUCUCCCUGGCUCUGCCCAGUGCCCUCUGCCUCCACUGCUCUGCGUUUGGUUCCCCUGAUUUUGGGACGAGGGAAGAGGCAGGCGGGAGACACAGGGCCUGUGCCCUUGCAAGUGAGGGGGUUUAUAGCACUGUCAGCCUGUUCAGCGCGUGUCCGGCAUCAUGCAGGUCGGGCUCUAACCACUCCUACAACCUGCUGGGCGAUCUUAGCAAGUCCUGAGCCCUCUGCACAGGGGCCUCAGAUUCCUAGUUCGUAAAGAAGGGCAGUAAGCUCGGGCCCACAGCCAUUACACACCUGCCUUCCUGCCUGCCCUUCGGUGCACCUGAUACAGGUCUUGGUGGGGAGUCCCCAGUGUUGCCUUAGAUGGGUGUGAAGGGGUGGGGGUGUCCACCCAGAAUCUAGGGUGUAUUAGAGCAACUGAACUUUCAAAGGUGAAUGUUUCUUUUGCUAGGUUUCUCACCUAGAAAGUCACCAGGACUGAGGGAGCAGGACACGGACUUAAGUGAAAUUUGGCCUAAUCCACCCCUCCCUGUUGGACCCACAUUCCUGAACCCUUUGGUGGCAGGAAUGACAAUUAAUAUAGUUAAUAAUUAAUUCCUAAGAGCACUGAGAAGCCCAGGCUUGGGCGGGGCCCAGGCACCUGCAGGCCACUUCCCUGGUCCCCUCCGUUCUCCCUUCCCCUCUUCGUAGGCCCAGGCACCAACCCUCCCCCAAGCCCGCAGACCUGGGCCUGGGUGGGGCACAGAGCUGAAGAAAGGGGCCCUCCCUCCACUUGCUCCAAGCGCCCAUCAAAGCCCUCUCCUUGGAGGGAGAACCAGGACGUCCGGUGCCCGAACACUGGCGCCAGGAGACUUCAGACACCUCUUCCCACCAGAGACCUUGGGGCGACCAUGGGAUCCCAGCUGCUGCUCUUCUUCCUCCUGGCCCUCCUUGGCAGCUCGAGAGGAACAGCUCUGUCUCCUCCUCUGCCUCCCGUCAGGGACCAAUGUCACCCUCCAUCAUAAGGGACCCCGACACCACCUCAUCUGCAAAGCCUGAAGCUGCUGUGGGCCAUGCUCAACCCACCUUCACCAGGCCUGCUGCCUGCCAAUAAAUGUGCUCGUCAGCAGCUGACUCGG